Molecule: ribosomal RNA, 118 nt
Filed under: Salmo salar (Atlantic salmon)
Lineage: Eukaryota; Metazoa; Chordata; Actinopteri; Salmoniformes; Salmonidae
Source: RNAcentral
GCUACGGCCAUAUCAGCCUGGGUACACCCGAUCUCGUCUGAUCUCGGAAGCUAAGCAGGGUCGGGCCUGGUUAGUACUUGGAUGGGAGACCGCCUGGGAAUACCAGGUGCUGUAAGCA